ACGCUGAAGGCAUCUAAGCGUGAAGCCCCCCUCAAGAUGAGAUAUCCCUGACGAAAGUCAAUAAGAUCCCUUGAAGACGACGAGGUAGAUAGGGCAGGGGUGGAAGCAUGGCAACAUGUGGAGCUGACUGUUACUAAUAGAUCGAAGGCUUGACCAA
This 157-nucleotide ribosomal RNA is filed under the name Lachnospiraceae bacterium. RNAcentral describes it as "partial 23S ribosomal RNA". It matches the Rfam family "Bacterial large subunit ribosomal RNA", at positions 2768 to 2925 of the family's 2925-position model. Lineage: Bacteria; Bacillati; Bacillota; Clostridia; Lachnospirales; Lachnospiraceae. The record is from RNAcentral.